Molecule: ribosomal RNA, 444 nt
Filed under: uncultured bacterium
Lineage: Bacteria
Description: SSU rRNA
Rfam family: Bacterial small subunit ribosomal RNA
Source: RNAcentral
AGAAUGAACGCUGGCGGCAUGCCUAACACAUGCAAGUCGAACGAGACCUUCGGGUCUAGUGGCGCACGGGUGCGUAACGCGUGGGAAUCUGCCCUUGGGUUCGGAAUAACAGUGGGAAACUACUGCUAAUACCGGAUAAUGACGUAAGUCCAAAGAUUUAUCGCCCAGGGAUGAGCCCGCGUAAGAUUAGCUAGUUGGUGGGGUAAAGGCCUACCAAGGCGACGAUCUUUAGCUGGUCUGAGAGGAUGAUCAGCCACACUGGGACUGAGACACGGCCCAGACUCCUACGGGAGGCAGCAGUGGGGAAUAUUGGACAAUGGGCGAAAGCCUGAUCCAGCAAUGCCGCGUGAGUGAUGAAGGCCUUAGGGUUGUAAAGCUCUUUACCCGGGAAGAUAAUGACUGUACCGGGAGAAUAAGCCCGGCUAACUCCGCGCCAGCAGCCGC